UCUCGGCUUAUCACCGGCUGUCCCCCUAGAGUGCCCAACUAAAUGGUAGCAACUAGAGACGAGGGUUGCGCUCGUUGCGGGACUUAACCCAACAUCUCACGACACGAGCUGACGACAGCCAUGCACCACCUGUACACCGACCACAAGGGGGCGCCCAUCUCUGAACGUUUCCGGUGUAUGUCAAGCCUUGGUAAGGUUCUUCGCGUUGCGUCGAAUUAAGCCACAUGCUCCGCCGCUUGUGCGGGCCCCCGUCAAUUUCUUUGAGUUUUAACCUUGCGGCCGUACUCCCCAGGCGGAUGACUUAACGCGUUAGCUGCGCCACCGAAACGCUAAGCGCCCCGACAGCUAGUCAUCAUCGUUUACGGCGUGGACUAC
RNAcentral lists this unclassified non-coding RNA (375 nucleotides) under uncultured bacterium. RNAcentral's name for it is "contains 16S-23S intergenic spacer region". The record is from RNAcentral.